UACCACUCUGAGCUUGCUUCCAUACAACAUUCUGUACCACUUUAACAUUUGUCUUUCCCACCUUUCUGGACUUUAACAAUUUAAUUCUGAAAUUAUCCAGGGACCGAAAACUCCUUUGUGGUUGGACCAUACCAUGUUACAAGAUGCACACCAUGGUCACAAGCAGUUGGACGUAAAUCAUGCAGGUCCUGUGGAUCUACAAUCAUUUCUCCACCUUUAUCUCUAUGGACAAACAAUGAAGCUCAGUCGUCAGCUCGACAUUUUGCUCUUCCAACUGUUGCCGCUGCUGAAGAUUACUUGAAAUGUGAAGCUUUUCUGCUGUUAGCUCAUUCACUCUACUUUUCAGUUGCUGGACUUGUUCUUGCUGAUUUUGUAAGUGGUUUUGCAAAAGCUCAAUUCUUCUAGAAACUGCAAAAAUAAAACGAUAUGCACAGAUA
Molecule: long non-coding RNA, 437 nt
Organism: Xenopus laevis (African clawed frog)
Lineage: Eukaryota; Metazoa; Chordata; Amphibia; Anura; Pipidae
Exons: 2
Source: RefSeq, a predicted model, not a curated record